AGGGAAAGUGGGGUGGUGUGAUGGGGCUCCCCUGGGCCAUGCGAUGGGGCUGGAGGCUCCCUUGCUCCCCCCUCAAGGACACCCCCUUCCCCCCCCCCGCAGCUGCGACAGCUCUUCGCCCAUCCGCAAGGAGAAGAAAAAGAAGACUGGAAAGAAACACAGACGCGACAGGUCUGAGUCGGGGUCACGGAAGAAGAGAAGACACAGGUGAGAGUGACGGCUGCCGGGAGUCACCCCACUGCCACCAGCACUGGCUGCAAGCUUCCCCCGUCGGGGACCCCCUGUCCCCUGCCCUCCCUCUGUCCCCAUCCCCUCUGCCCAUGGGGAAGGACCCACUGGGCACAGUGGGUACGACCUGCCCCCUGGGGGGCUGCCCCACUCCCACCUCUGCAGCCCGUGGCUCUUCCCGCAGGUCCCGAAGCCCCAAGAACAAACGGAAAGAGAAAAACAAAGAGCGCAAGAGGUGA
Molecule: long non-coding RNA, 467 nt
Filed under: Calidris pygmaea (Spoon-billed sandpiper)
Lineage: Eukaryota; Metazoa; Chordata; Aves; Charadriiformes; Scolopacidae
Description: lncRNA (ENSCPGG00000001484.1)
Source: RNAcentral